Molecule: ribosomal RNA, 252 nt
Filed under: uncultured bacterium
Lineage: Bacteria
Description: partial 16S ribosomal RNA
Rfam family: Bacterial small subunit ribosomal RNA
Source: RNAcentral
ACGAAGGGGGCUAGCGUUGUUCGGAAUUACUGGGCGUAAAGCGAGUGUAGGUGGUUGUCAUAGUCAGGUGUGAAAGCCUUGAGCUCAACUCAAGAAAUGCACUUGAUACUGGGCGACUAGAGGACCGGAGAGGAUAGUGGAAUUCCCAGUGUAGUGGUGAAAUACGUAGAGAUUGGGAAGAACACCAGUGGCGAAGGCGGCUAUCUGGACGGUUUCUGACACUAAGACUCGAAAGCGUGGGGAGCAAACAGG